This 67-nucleotide small RNA is filed under the name Mesobacillus foraminis. Its description in RNAcentral is "Bacillus foraminis Bacillaceae-1 RNA". It matches the Rfam family "Bacillaceae-1 RNA". The record is from Rfam by way of RNAcentral. Lineage: Bacteria; Bacillati; Bacillota; Bacilli; Caryophanales; Bacillaceae.
UAGUAAGGAUCGUCGACUAAGAACGCCACAUCCUGUGGCAACAUCGACGUCAGCGCAUCCUUGCGCA